RNAcentral lists this ribosomal RNA (468 nucleotides) under uncultured Acidobacteriota bacterium. Its description in RNAcentral is "bacterial SSU rRNA". It matches the Rfam family "Bacterial small subunit ribosomal RNA", at positions 434 to 896 of the family's 1533-position model. Lineage: Bacteria; Pseudomonadati; Acidobacteriota. The record is from RNAcentral.
UCGACCGGGACGAACGUAGAGGGGCUAAUACCCGCUUCUAUCGACUGUACCGGUGGAGGAAGCCACGGCUAACUCUGUGCCAGCAGCCGCGGUAAUACAGAGGUGGCAAGCGUUGUUCGGAAUUACUGGGCGUAAAGGGCGCGUAGGCGGCCUUGUAAGUCCUGUGUGAAAUCCCCCGGCUCAACUGGGGAACUGCACAGGAGACUGCUUGGCUUGAGUUCGGGAGAGGGAAGCGGAAUUCCGGGUGUAGCGGUGAAAUGCGUAGAUAUCCGGAGGAACACCGGUGGCGAAGGCGGCUUCCUGGACCGACACUGACGCUGAGGCGCGAAAGCCAGGGGAGCAAACGGGAUUAGAUACCCCGGUAGUCCUGGCUGUAAACGAUGAGCGCUGGGUGUAGGGGGUAUUGACCCCCCUGUGCCGAAGCUAACGCAUUAAGCGCUCCGCCUGGGGAGUACGGUCGCAAGGCUG